RNAcentral lists this ribosomal RNA (449 nucleotides) under uncultured prokaryote. RNAcentral's name for it is "bacterial SSU rRNA". It matches the Rfam family "Bacterial small subunit ribosomal RNA", at positions 355 to 796 of the family's 1533-position model. The record is from RNAcentral.
UGGGGAAUAUUGGACAAUGGGCGCAAGCCUGAUCCAGCAAUGCCGCGUGUGUGAAGAAGGCCUGAGGGUUGUAAAGCACUUUCAAUAGAGACGAAAAGCUCAGGGUUAAUACCCCUGAGUCUUGACUUAACCUAUAGAAGAAGCACCGGCUAACUCCGUGCCAGCAGCCGCGGUAAUACGGAGGGUGCAAGCGUUAAUCGGAAUUACUGGGCGUAAAGCGCUCGUAGGCGGUUUGUUAAGUCGGAUGUGAAAGCCCCGGGCUUAACCUGGGAACUGCAUUCGAUACUGGCAGACUAGAGUAUAGUAGAGGCAAGCGGAAUUCCGGGUGUAGCGGUGAAAUGCGUAGAUAUCCGGAGGAACAUCAGUGGCGAAGGCGGCUUGCUGGACUAAUACUGACGCUGAGGAGCGAAAGCGUGGGGAGCAAACGGGAUUAGAUACCCCCGUAGUCC